AGAAGCUGUGCGCUGCAGACAGGCGGGGCCUCCCCAGAAGGGCCAGGGGUUCGCCUGGGGCUGCCUGCAAGCUGCGCUCUCUCCUUGGAGGGCUGUUGUAACCUGUCAGACAGACGCAGAGCGGGAGGUGGAUGAACAGGCCUUCCCCACGCCUCUUCCCUGAUUCCCCGCCCCUGCUUCUGCUGGAGCCCACCUCCCAUCUGGCCACUGCCUGCUCCAAAGCGUUCUGUGGCUCUCCAGUACAGAGAGCAUUCUGACAAAUCUAUAGGAUGUGGCUGCCUCUGGGACCUGGCCUCCCUCUCCAGCCCCACUCUCUGCCCUCUGGCUACACGCAGCUCCUUCUCGGCAGGGCCCCCUCCUCGUCCUCACUCUUGCUGCUCCCUUCACUUGCAAUGCCCUUUCCGCCCCAUCUCAGCCUGUUCAAAUCCCACCACCAGAGGCUGGAGAAGGCUUGAAAUAGCCGCUGUGGACAAAGGGGAAAUGUGUUAACUAGGUCAGUGCAUUUGGAGUUGGGGUCAGUGUUAGCUGUCUGAGUGUGGCAGGAAAGGGUAGUGACAACAAUUUGCACUGCUGUGUGUCUUUCUUCUUCAACAGCGCUUGGCCACUUGGUCUAGGCAUCAAAAAAUGCAGAGUUGGGGGACUGGCCCUGUGACCAAGUGGUUAAGUUCACACACUCCACUUUGGAGGCCCUGGGUUCACCGGUUAGGAUCCCAGGCGUGGACCUAGGCACCGCUCAUCAAGCCAUGCUGUGGCAGGUGUCCCACAUAUAAAGUAGAGGAAGAUGGGCACAGAUGUUAGCUCAGGGCCAGUCUUCCUCAGCAAAAAGAGGAGGAUUGUCGGCAGAUGUUAGCCCAGGGCUGGUCUUCCUCAAAAACAUAGAAAAUGCAGAGUCGGGUUCAUCCAUCAGUGAAUUCUUUUUAGAUUUGGUGCAAAGAAAAAAGGCCCCAGGUCUGGGGUAUUAGCAAGAGUGUUACUGAAGUGAUGGACCGUGGAUAAGGAGGGAAGUAAAGAAGAGAGCUUCCGGACUGGGAGGAAGCAGAGAGGUCAGCUCACGGAAAGACCCGGUGAGGUCAGAACCUGUUGACCGGGGCACGGAUCACACAGACAAGCUGGAAGGCAGGUGUCUGGAGGCAGAGAGUCGGGGUCUGAAUCGUUGAUUUUGAAGGUGCAGCCAUGCCAGGUGGUGGCAGGGUCCAAGGCGGGAUUGUGGGAGUGGCUGCUAAAGGGGGUGGAGACAGUGAGCGGUGAUGACAGUGGUGUUGGACAGCCAUCUGCAUGGUCCCAGAAGUCAUCAGGACCCCUCACCCCCCACCCCGGGCUCGAGCUGGAGGGGAGGACUGCCAUCCCGAGAGCAAAGAUGCGGACGAGUACCGAGGAUGGUGGGAGGUAGGACAGCACUCGGCAGACGCUCUCCACAGGGCAGGCGGUAGACAUUUCGGAGUUGUCAGUCCGUGUGGUCUCUGUCUCAACGACUCAGCUCCGCCUGCAGAGCAGAAGCAGCCACAGCAACACGGAAAGAACGGGCCUGAUGAGGAAAUGGAAGCACAGAGAGGUUGAUUGUCUUACCCAAGGUCACACAGCAUUAACUGGAAGAGGACUUGUCGCUGAAGUUGCUCUAGUCUCUCUCUGCUGUUGCGGGGUGGUUAUCGUUCGGGCUCCAGAUUGCAGGACCUUAAGAACACAUCCAACUCUGAAGGGAAAGAAUCCACGUCCCCCAGAGAUUCUAAACUCAGGUAAUCGUUCCUCCCACCAGCUCUCCUCCCUGCCCCCCACCCGCUGAGCUCCAGAGCUGGCUGCCAAACACAGGCCUGACCCAUCAGAGCACCACAUUCUCCUGACCACAGAGACUUGUUCAGGGGUGGACACGUGACAUCAGAA
Equus caballus (horse) is the source of this 1878-nucleotide long non-coding RNA. The record is from Ensembl. Lineage: Eukaryota; Metazoa; Chordata; Mammalia; Perissodactyla; Equidae.